Molecule: long non-coding RNA, 952 nt
Organism: Paramisgurnus dabryanus
Lineage: Eukaryota; Metazoa; Chordata; Actinopteri; Cypriniformes; Cobitidae
Source: RefSeq, a predicted model, not a curated record
UCACCUUAUUUUUCACGACAACAAGGGCGGCGCCAUUUCGCUCAUUUUGUCAACGUUCUUCCGGCCGCAUAGACGAUGAGCAGCUGAGGCAGUGACUGAAGGCGACGUGUUAAGCUUAAAAAGCUCACUCGAGCGCCUUUAUGUUUCUUUCUUACCAAUUUUAAGCCAACUGAGGAACACCCUUAUCCCAAGUAAUGGUUCGACUACGAUGUUCCGGUAACUUUAAACCACGCCUGGUGUUGAAAAGGUGGCCAGUUUCAGAUGCAUUGAUGUUUAGUGAUGCAGUGGACAACUGUGAGGAUGAUACAAUCAACAUGUUCCUAAACUGUAAUGCAGAAACACAAUGGGUGCAUCUAUCCGUCUCUGACCACAACUACACUUUAAAAUCACAACUCAACCUGAAGCAACCUACAUCUGAUAUGGGAAAACAAUGGUGCGGUUUCCCUGACAGGGCUUAUCCUGGUCCCAGGCUAAAAUGCAUAUUUGAGCUACAAUAAUUUAAAAACACCUUUUACUGACAUACCUCAACAUAUAUUAGUGCCAUUGUUUUGUCACAAGAUGCGCACCAGUCUUGUUUUUUGUAGGAUUUGUUUGUAAAAACUAAAAUGUCCUAAUAUAAUUAAGGCCUAGUCCUGUAAACCCUGUCCGAGAAACUGCUUCAAUGCUUCUGCUUCAUGUGUUGAGCUGGCACAAAUGUACAUAUCUCUGCUGAGAAACAACCAUCUUUGGUUCAGCUUUACACAGGGUUGAUAUUGCAUCCAUUACACAAGCACUUUACCAGUACAUACACCAACAGCUUCCAGAUAUACGCUUGGGAUCAGCUUCUGAUGACUCCGAUAAAGCUGUGUCUUAAUUUAUUGCAGGGUGGUCUUGCUUUACCGGUUGUAAAGUUACAUUAAACCUUCAUAUGUGAUCAGAUGUCAUGCAGUGAUAUUAAACAUUUACAGUGUGA